GCUUUUCGGUGCGCGCGACCUUGUGGAAGCGCUUUUGCGCGUGGGAAGGGCGCGUUCCUGGUGCGAACAGACUGAAGUACUGCUGUGGGCGAUCUCUGGUGGUGCUCAGUACGAAAGGCGCCCCGCUCAGCUUUUAGAAGUUGGAUUGCCGUUAAUGCCCGCUGUUCUGCUUCAGCCCCUGCCGUCCCCCUGUCCCAAUAGGGUCUCGGAGCCCUCCCUUCCUUUGCCCCACUGGGCUUUUCUCGUGCUUUGCAUCCUCUGAGGUUCCAGGCGGGCGCGGCGGCUCGCGGUUCAGCUGCCGCCUGCGCUGCGCCGUUGGUGUUAGAGCCGGGUGAAAGGCAAAGCCCAGCGCUCACCGAAGCGAAGUUCACCUCCUCUCCGCUCUGAUCCUGAGCUCCAUGGUACCUGAUUUAAACUGUCAUCACUUCGUUGAGCUGUAGGGGCCCCAGUGACCUGACCCAGUUGCACUUUAGAGGUGGCUGCCUUUUAAUUAUUUUGGUGCUGUUUGUGAAGAACUGGAUAAAGACACACACAGCAUCUCUGGUGGUAGAGAAAUAUUGUGGAUUAAGGACAUGACAGUGGAAGCCCUCAUCCUUCAAGCUGAAGACCGCUCAGAGCUCCUCAUAACAAGACAGAAAUUUUUAAUGCUGUGGAACUAUCAAUAUAUCAGAAACUGCCAAUGGAGAUGGGCUGAGAAACCAAGAUCAGACAUAGCUGUUGCCUCUGUAGGCAGAUGACCAUGACUACCCAGAGAGCAAUAUAGAGCUGGAUUGUUCAAGUCCAGGGAAUUGCUGAUGAGAUCGAGCCCACCUGGAGCAAGUGAGAACCUGAUUGUGAGGGGCCUGAUGAUAAUCCUUGGACAAGCACUCUUCUCCUCAAGCCUGGCGUGAACUCAGAAAUCUGCUGCUGAGCUGGGACCGCUUUGCCUCGCCAUUAAGCAAAACUGGAGCAGAGUUGAGCCCUGUAUCGAAGCUCGCUUAUCCCCAAGGUGAUGCGCCUCAAUUCUGCGCGGAUCAUGCCCAGCACCUUCCUGAGAAAAGAUUUCUGUGAGACUUCAGCCUGCAGAACACUGUUUGUAUCUUCUGUAUGCAGAGAUUUUUGGGACUCAUUAGAGAGUUUUUGCCCUGAGAAAGAACUGAUUUGAGACUUUCGCAAGGCAGAUAAUGAAACAUAAUCACCAUGGGAAUCGGUUUGUCGGAGCUGGAGAAAGCAAUUCAGCAGAGCAAGACAGAUUUUCCUUUUGAUUACUCAAGGCUGCCAUAUCUCCAGGAUCUGCGUAUCCUUUCUAGUUAAUUGAGCUCACUAAUUUCUUCCCUUUCUUUGGAGUAAGAGGUAAUGUGUUAAAAUUUUUCACCAAUUUUUUUUUUUUUUUUGGUAAACUGAAAGAAAUCUCAUCCUGCUUUCAGGUUUUCUGAUGUUCAAGCAAACAAACAUAAAAUGAAAAUCCACUUUGAUUCCAAAGCUCUAUUAAACAUAACCAGCAAAUAUCAGCUAGUAACUUCAAAAGGAUGUGGGACCAAGAGAGUAGUUUUCUUCUGCUCCCCCACUGGCAUCAGAGCUCCCAGCUUGUGCAGCAAUCUAAGCCUUUCCAAUGUGUACUGUGAAACACUACAGGAAAGAAAUGGAAGAGGUUUAUGGUACAAAGAGGGCCAGCAUGGUGAAAUCAAACAUUCACAGCGAAUGGAAAAGCCCACAUGAACAGAAGAAGAAAGUCAGUAGUCUUGGAUGAUUCUUACUCCAUGUCUCUUUUUGAGUCCAUCAGGAUAUCUAGUGUGGUGGUAAGACACAAAUUGAGAAAUGAGUCUGUCAGCAAAGCCUAAUGGCUGAUGUCCCGAAGGAAGAGCUGCUUGACUGUGAGUGCUGUGGUCAAAGUGGCUGGACAAAAUACAGGAGCCUCUAUAUCCUGUGUUAAAAAGAGAAAUGAAGUUUUGUAUGGGUGUCUGCAAAGCAAUCCUGCUUACCCUACAACAGGUGUUCUCCCCAGGCUUGGGAAGAAGCUUUCCAGGGAAGAUGGCAUCGUGCUUGUUGUUCCAGCACUCGCUCCAUCAGGAUGCAGCCCUCAGUUGUCCACUGCUCCUCACUGUACGUGGAGUUGAGUGUCUGAAUGUCAUAUGAAACCGAUUCAGUGAAUUUUCACUCAUCACAAUCCUUGAAUUUCAACAAACAUCUGUACAGUGUUUUCUAUGGUCCAAGGAAUACUGCAGUGAAAAUACCGUUUCCCAAACUUGGGUGAUCCGCUAAAGUUUGCAAGUCCAGUUCAUGUCACAGUGUGACAAGGGACCAUUAUAAUUUUUAAUUAAAAACUGUAUCCUUUCAUAAUGUCUUCAGCUCUUUCAGAUGGCUGUCAGAAAGCAACAUGAGUCAGGCUCCAUGGGGAAUGGGGCAUCACAUCCUGACCUUGGCGCAUAGACAUUUUUAUUUCAGACAUCACACAAACAGCACUCUGGUGCGAAAAGCAGUGGGCAGACACUGCCUGGUAAUGGAUGGCAGGCUGGAGAGGGAGCAGUUCCCAAUUCACAGAGCUGCCACGCUUUCCCAGACCAGUCUAUUACUUGUGAUAAUAUUGUGCUCAAAAUCUCUACUGGAAAAAAGAAUUCCCCAGACAACUGCAGACUGGAAGAUACUUUCUCAUUACCCACCAGAAACUAUGAGCAAACUCGCCCAUAUUCAAAAGAAAGCCCAGAAAUGCAUAUCGUUUGUAUGCCAUAGCAAGUCCAUGUAUUUUUCUUUUCAUCCAGAGCUAAAGAGAUAAAUGUUUUGCUUUUGUGUCUCAUUUCCUGUCUGUACCUAUUAGAGCUAGAUGUUAGAAGUAACUGUAAAACAAGAGGAGACUGCUUUUUUUGUUUGUUUGUUUGUUUUUAAAGCAGGAUUUUGAAAAAGAGAUACCUAGUAAUAAUCAUGUCCAAACUUGCAGAAAUGUCAAAAUCAUGUCCUUGCAAGUCUGAAGAAUUGUUAAGGGACUGUUUUCUGGGGAUCAGACAGAAAAAUGUCAGCCAAAUUCACUGAUGUCUCCUGAUGGCUUAAUGUUAUUUUAAGCGGUAAAAUUCCCAUUAGUUUAAAUGGAAAUAUGCACAGCUUUUAAAUCAGGACAGCUAUAUGUUCCAUGUACAUUUCCAUUUACUAUGUAUUUGCAUCAUUGCAAACGUCUGAGCAAAAAUUUGUGGCCGUGUUCUGUCCCUGCACUUCUACAGUCAGCCCAUGCUGUUCCCCAGGCAUGUCUUUCCUGAAGCUCUGCCUGAAGCAUCUGUGAUUCUUCAGACCUUGGGACUCCAUCGCUCACUUUCCUUAGGAGGUUGUGCCACAGUUUAGUACAUAUUGCUAACAUAUUAUUUUACUUCCAGCACUAACCCAAAAUUUUAUUUACAUGAAUUGAAUUCUGUUCUUUUCAAAUCAUUUUCUUUUUUUUCUUCAAUGGUGUUUCAUGAAGGUGUUCUUUUUUUUAUUCCAGAUAAGGUCAAACUUUUAUUUGCAACUAGAACACAGUAUCAUUCCUUAGCUGGAGGGAGCUCAUCUGAAACAGUUACGAGUUCUGGGAUGAAAUUUGUUUAGAAUCUUUUCAGGAGCUUGGAUGCACUUUCACUAAAACUGAUGGAUGCUCGUGUCUCCGACUUUGCUGUGGAAGCUUCAGCUGUAAAUCACAAAUGUGGUCUCAAUACACAGGCUUAAUUACAUUCUGAUUUGGGGAGCAACAUAUUUAAAUUGGUACUCUGCAGGUUGAUGUUUCUACAGAGACACCAUCAGCACGCAAUCUCCAGCUUCAUCCUGCACCCUUUACUCUUUAUCGUCGAUCCUUCAUCUCACCCCUGCCACUGCAUCCCGCAUAGCGAUGUGAUAUCUACAGCCAUCUGGGCUUGCAGUGGGACAUCACCGGGGACAUUACUGUAUGGGUGAGUUAAGUCCCAAGGCCUUGGGGUAGCUGUCAAACGCUACGGCUUGCCUUAACGAAGCUUGGCUGUGCUAACAAAGCAAUGAUCUCCACAUGAUGCGAUGCAGCUGGGGCUGCCCGGGCACAGCUGCGCUUUGUUUGGAGCUCAGGGCAGGGCCAGCCCCCAAAGCCUCUUAAACCCACCGGAGGCUGCUGGGAGCUAUUG
Molecule: long non-coding RNA, 4091 nt
Organism: Tympanuchus pallidicinctus (lesser prairie-chicken)
Lineage: Eukaryota; Metazoa; Chordata; Aves; Galliformes; Phasianidae
Exons: 11
Source: RefSeq, a predicted model, not a curated record